UCCGUUGUAGCAAUACGAUGGAAAGUCUAGUGGCGAACGGGUGCUUAACACGUGGGCAACCUGCCAUGAAGUGGGGGAUAGCUCGCCGAAAGGCGAAUUAAUACCGCAUGUGAUUAGAGAGGACAUCCUUUCGAAAUUAAAGUCGGGGCAACCUGACGCUUCUUGUGGGGCCCGCGGCCUAUCAGCUAGUUGGUGAGGUAACGGCUCACCAAGGCUUUGACGGGUAGCUGGUCUGAGAGGACGACCAGCCACACUGGGACUGAGACACGGCCCAGACACCUACGGGUGGCAGCAGUCGAGAAUUUUUGACAAUGGGGGAAACCCUGAUCGAGCGACGCCGCGUGGAGGAUGAAGGUCUUCGGAUUGUAAACUCCUGUCAUUGGGGAACAAUGCACAGAUAUUAACUAUAUUUGUGUUGAUAGUACCCGAGGAGGAAGAGACGGCUAACUCUGUGCCAGCAGCCGCGGUAAUACAGAGGUCUCAAGCGUUGUUCGGAUUCAUUGGGCGUAAAGGGUGCGUAGGCGGCGCGGUAAGUCGGGUGUGAAAUCUCGGAGCUUAACUCCGAAACUGCAUUCGAUACUGCCGUGCUUGAGGACUGGAGAGGAGACUGGAAUUCUCGGUGUAGCA
This 627-nucleotide ribosomal RNA is filed under the name uncultured Verrucomicrobiota bacterium. RNAcentral's name for it is "bacterial SSU rRNA". It matches the Rfam family "Bacterial small subunit ribosomal RNA", at positions 70 to 680 of the family's 1533-position model. Lineage: Bacteria; Pseudomonadati; Verrucomicrobiota. The record is from RNAcentral.